RNAcentral lists this ribosomal RNA (497 nucleotides) under uncultured bacterium. RNAcentral describes it as "partial 16S ribosomal RNA". It matches the Rfam family "Bacterial small subunit ribosomal RNA", at positions 28 to 507 of the family's 1533-position model. The record is from RNAcentral.
GACGAACGCUGGCGGCGUGCCUAAUACAUGCCAGUUGAGCGAUGAAGAUUGGUGCUUGCCCCAAUUUGAAGAGCAGCGAACGGGUGAGUAACGCGUGGGGAAUCUGCCUUUGAGCGGGGGACAACAUUUGGAAACGAAUGCUAAUACCGCAUAACAACUUUAAACAUAAGUUUUAAGUUUGAAAGAUGCAAUUGCAUCACUCAAAGAUGAUCCCGCGUUGUAUUAGCUAGUUGGUGAGGUAAAGGCUCACCAAGGCGAUGAUACAUAGCCGACCUGAGAGGGUGGUCGGCCACAAUGGGACUGGGGCACGGCCCAAACUCCUUCGGGGAGGAGCAGGAGGGGAUCUUCGGCAAUGGACGGAAGGCUGACCGAGCAACGCCGGGGGAGUGAAGAAGGGUUUCGGGUCGGAAAACUCUGUUGGUAGGGAAGAACGUUGGUGAGGGUGGAAAGCUCAUCAAGUGACGGUAACUACACAGAAAGGGACGGCUAACUACGUG